AAGAGCACCUCGGGCAUACUAUUCCUUCUCGGGAAUAGUCCCGUCAGCUGGCAAUCGGUGAGGCAGAAGGUUGUCGCCGUAUCUUCGUGCGAGGCGGAGUACAUCGCGGCAGCUACAGCGGCUUGUCAAGGCAUUUGGCUUGCUCGCCUUCUCGGCGAGAUGCUGAAUCAGGACACCGCCCCUGCGCUCAUCUUCGUCGACAACAAGUCGGCGAUUUCCCUCUGCAAGAAUCCAGUGCUUCAUGACCGCAGCAAGCACAUCGAUCUCCGCUCUCACUUCAUACGUGGCUGCGUCGAGAAAGACACGGUGAUCGUGGAGUUCAUCAGGACUGGUGAGCAGAAGGCGGACAUCCUGACCAAGUCACUUGGCCGUGUCCGGUUCCAGGAAUUGCGCGACAAAGUCAGGCUCAUGGACAUCAAGCUCCUUCGACAAGGUUGAGGGGGAGAUUGUUGAGUCAACCAGGG
Molecule: ribosomal RNA, 464 nt
Filed under: Triticum aestivum (bread wheat)
Lineage: Eukaryota; Viridiplantae; Streptophyta; Magnoliopsida; Poales; Poaceae
Description: partial small subunit ribosomal RNA
Source: RNAcentral